Molecule: long non-coding RNA, 103 nt
Organism: Rhea pennata
Lineage: Eukaryota; Metazoa; Chordata; Aves; Rheiformes; Rheidae
Exons: 3
Source: RefSeq, a predicted model, not a curated record
AAUAGUGGAAUUUCAUCUUUGGUUUUGUGGAUGACAAUCCUUUCAUGAAUACAUCAAGCUCCAGAGUUCAAGCCCGGAGACUUAUCUAGGAACUCAGUGGACA